UACGUAGGGUGCGAGCGUUGUCCGGAAUUACUGGGCGUAAAGAGCUCGUAGGUGGUUUGUCACGUCGUCUGUGAAAUUCCCGGGCUUAACCUCGGGCGUGCAGGCGAUACGGGCAAUACUUGAGUGCUGUAGGGGAGACUGGAAUUCCUGGUGUAGCGGUGAAAUGCGCAGAUAUCAGGAGGAACACCAAUGGCGAAGGCAGGUCUCUGGGCAGUUACUGACGCUGAGGAGCGAAAGCAUGGGUAGCGAACAGGAUUAGA
RNAcentral lists this ribosomal RNA (260 nucleotides) under uncultured prokaryote. RNAcentral describes it as "partial 16S ribosomal RNA". It matches the Rfam family "Bacterial small subunit ribosomal RNA", at positions 524 to 782 of the family's 1533-position model. The record is from RNAcentral.